This 466-nucleotide ribosomal RNA is filed under the name uncultured bacterium. RNAcentral describes it as "partial 16S ribosomal RNA". It matches the Rfam family "Bacterial small subunit ribosomal RNA", at positions 28 to 507 of the family's 1533-position model. The record is from RNAcentral.
GAUGAACGCUGGCGGCGUGCUUAACACAUGCAAGUCGAACGAUGAAGCCCAGCUUGCUGGGUGGAUUAGUGGCGAACGGGUGAGUAACACGUGAGUAACCUGCCCUUAACUCUGGGAUAAGCCUGGGAAACUGGGUCUAAUACCGGAUAGGAGCGUCCACCGCAUGGUGGGUGUUGGAAAGAUUUAUCGGUUUUGGAUGGACUCGCGGCCUAUCAGCUUGUUGGUGAGGUAAUGGCUUACCAAGGCGACGACGGGUAGCCGGCCUGAGAGGGUGACCGGCCACACUGGGACUGAGACACGGCCCAAACUCCUACGGGAGGCAGCAGUGGGGAAUAUUGCACAAUGGGCGCAAGCCUGAUGCAGCGACGCCGCGUGAGGGAUGACGGCCUUCGGGUUGUAAACCUCUUUCAGUAGGGAAGAAGCGAAAGUGACGGUACCUGCAGAAGAAGCACCGGCUAACUACGUG